AUGCAAGUCGAACGGUGAAAGAGGAGCUUGCUCCUCUGGAUCAGUGGCGAACGGGUGAGUAACACGUGAGUAACCUGCCCUUGACUCUGGGAUAACCUCGGGAAACCGAAGCUAAUACCGGAUACGACCCUCGGAGGCAUCUCCAGGGGGUGGAAAGAACUUCGGUCAAGGAUGGACUCGCGGCCUAUCAGGUAGUUGGUGAGGUAAAGGCUCACCAAGCCGACGACGGGUAGCCGGCCUGAGAGGGUGACCGGCCACACUGGGACUGAGACACGGCCCAGACUCCUACGGGAGGCAGCAGUGGGGAAUAUUGCACAAUGGGCGCAAGCCUGAUGCAGCAACGCCGCGUGAGGGACGACGGCCUUCGGGUUGUAAACCUCUUUUAGUAGGGAAGAAGCGAAAGUGACGGUACCUGCAGAAAAAGCACCGGCUAACUACGUGCCAGCAGCCGCGGUAAUACGUAGGGUGCAAGCGUUGUCCGGAAU
Molecule: ribosomal RNA, 485 nt
Filed under: Clavibacter sp. 5S2.D11
Lineage: Bacteria; Bacillati; Actinomycetota; Actinomycetes; Micrococcales; Microbacteriaceae
Description: bacterial SSU rRNA
Rfam family: Bacterial small subunit ribosomal RNA
Source: RNAcentral